GCCCGUCUAGCUCAGUCGGUAGAGCGCGUGCCUUUUAAGCACGUGGUCAUGGGUUCAAGUCCCAUGGUGGGCA
RNAcentral lists this transfer RNA (73 nucleotides) under Candidatus Omnitrophota bacterium. RNAcentral's name for it is "tRNA-Lys". It matches the Rfam family "tRNA". Rfam says of the family: Transfer RNA (tRNA) molecules are approximately 80 nucleotides in length. Lineage: Bacteria; Pseudomonadati; Candidatus Omnitrophota. The record is from RNAcentral.